RNAcentral lists this ribosomal RNA (691 nucleotides) under Enterococcus faecalis. RNAcentral's name for it is "bacterial SSU rRNA". It matches the Rfam family "Bacterial small subunit ribosomal RNA", at positions 47 to 710 of the family's 1533-position model. The record is from RNAcentral. Lineage: Bacteria; Bacillati; Bacillota; Bacilli; Lactobacillales; Enterococcaceae.
UCCUAUACAUGCAGUCGAACGCUUCUUUCCUCCCGAGUGCUUGCACUCAAUUGGAAAGAGGAGUGGCGGACGGGUGAGUAACACGUGGGUAACCUACCCAUCAGAGGGGGAUAACACUUGGAAACAGGUGCUAAUACCGCAUAACAGUUUAUGCCGCAUGGCAUAAGAGUGAAAGGCGCUUUCGGGUGUCGCUGAUGGAUGGACCCGCGGUGCAUUAGCUAGUUGGUGAGGUAACGGCUCACCAAGGCCACGAUGCAUAGCCGACCUGAGAGGGUGAUCGGCCACACUGGGACUGAGACACGGCCCAGACUCCUACGGGAGGCAGCAGUAGGGAAUCUUCGGCAAUGGACGAAAGUCUGACCGAGCAACGCCGCGUGAGUGAAGAAGGUUUUCGGAUCGUAAAACUCUGUUGUUAGAGAAGAACAAGGACGUUAGUAACUGAACGUCCCCUGACGGUAUCUAACCAGAAAGCCACGGCUAACUACGUGCCAGCAGCCGCGGUAAUACGUAAGUGGCAAGCGUUGUCCGGAUUUAUUGGGCGUAAAGCGAGCGCAAGCGGUUUCUUAAGUCUGAUGUGAAAGCCCCCGGCUCAAACUGGGAGGGUCAUUGUAAACUGGGAGACUUGAAUGGGCAAAAGAGGAGUGUGAUUCCCUGUGUGGCGGUGACAUGCGCAUAUAUAUGUAGGAGCACC